This 90-nucleotide transfer RNA is filed under the name Paenochrobactrum glaciei. RNAcentral's name for it is "tRNA-Ser". It matches the Rfam family "tRNA". From Rfam's summary of the family: Transfer RNA (tRNA) molecules are approximately 80 nucleotides in length. Their secondary structure includes four short double-helical elements and three loops (D, anti-codon, and T loops). Further hydrogen bonds mediate the characteristic L-shaped molecular structure. tRNAs have two regions of fundamental functional importance: the anti-codon, which is responsible for specific mRNA codon recognition, and the 3' end, to which the tRNAs corresponding amino acid is attached (by aminoacyl-tRNA synthetases). tRNAs cope with the degeneracy of the genetic code in two manners: having more than one tRNA (with a specific anti-codon) for a particular amino acid; and 'wobble' base-pairing, i.e. permitting non-standard base-pairing at the 3rd anti-codon position. RNAcentral also lists the same sequence under 4 other names. Lineage: Bacteria; Pseudomonadati; Pseudomonadota; Alphaproteobacteria; Hyphomicrobiales; Brucellaceae. The record is from RNAcentral.
GGAGAGGUGGCCGAGUGGUUGAAGGCGCACGCCUGGAAAGUGUGUAGGCGGGGAACCGUCUCGCGGGUUCGAAUCCCGCUCUCUCCGCCA